GGUACACUGUAAAUGCUAACAUUCAAAUUAAUUAAAUUUGAUAAGUGAACUAAACUCAGUUUUCAUCAACCUGUUGUGAACACUACUUUUAAAUAAGUAAGUAGUAAUUUGGGGUUGGAGAACUUGCUUAACUUGAUAUAUCCCAGUUAAGUCAAAUUAGAAAAAAUAAUUUAUCGUACCCAGUGUCCUUUGCGCGUUCUAUCAGACAUGCGCAGAUCUGCCCUGCCUACUUUCGCGCUCUUUCCAACACCUUUCUCAUUUAUUUUCGCCAUUGUGGGUUUAUUUGUCCUCAGCACACUGAUUUGGCUGAAGCAAAUGGUCAGAAGUCCACACAUACCUCAGUCUCUGCAAUUACAGGUCAACCAGAGCAGUAUUCUCUAAUGCAGUGGACUUGUAAGUACUGCACAUUUUCUGCUGGAAAGAGAGGCUACUUGCUUAAGCAUUACCGCUUAAAACAUGGAUACCACACUCGGACAUCCCUACUCCCCAUGUCUUCAUAAGGACUGCCUCUGCACAUUUAAAUCUUUUAAUGCACUCAAAGUACACCUAUCGACAUGCCACUCUCAAAAAGAUGCAGACAAAAGUGGAGAAACUGCAUUUGACUGUCAGUUGUGCAACUUUGUGGAGCCUUGUUAAGAAGCAGACUUCUUUACCCAUUUGCGAGGACAUCUUAAGCUGAGGCAAAUGGUUACUUGGAUAUAUCAAGACUGUAACUUUCAGAGCACUGUUUAUUCUACCUUCACUGCACACAAAAGCAGAAAUGUGAAAUGAGUUUGAACCAUAGUAUGGGUAGGACAUUUGUGUCUAAAUCAUUCAAUCCCAAUAAAAGUUGCUUCAAUCAAAAAAAAUAUUUUUAAUGAAAGAAAAAGAACCUCUUGCUAAAAUGUUUUUUUGAAAAUAUAUAUUUUUUGAAAUAUAUAUAUUUUUUUAUUGACGUGUCACUUUUUUUGCAAAGCAUGAAGUUUUAAACUUUUUUUUUUUUAAAGUGGAAAAAGUUUUU
This is a long non-coding RNA of Corythoichthys intestinalis (scribbled pipefish), 1000 nucleotides long. RefSeq lists it as uncharacterized. The transcript is spliced from 3 exons. The record is from RefSeq and is a predicted model, not a curated record. NCBI's taxonomy places the organism in Eukaryota, Metazoa, Chordata, Actinopteri, Syngnathiformes, Syngnathidae.